UGAAUGUUAAAUGAGAAACUGCUAAUGCUAGCGCGACCAAGACUCAGACUAAAGAGAAACUGACGAGUUCCGGACUGCUCUAGUGGGCGAAUUGCUUUGAAUUGUUCUGUUUGAUACAAGACUCCGACGGAAGAUAAUGGAUGGAUGGAUGGAUGGUUUUUUUUUUAAUUGCUGGAUCUACAUCGGAGUGACAGCGUUGAUGUCAAGGAGGAUUCGGCCUGAUUCAAGGCGGGAUUGAAAACGACCAUUUUUCUUCAACUUCAACCAACUUUUGGAGCAUUACCCUGGGAGCAGAUAAGCUCACCUUCACUACAACAUCUUUCAUACUAUAUACAGUCACACUACCCGGGUAGUACACACAUACACUGAAUAGGAGAACGGACAUUGAAGCACGGCAGCAAUUGGCUGUGAAGGGACGAUUCGACCAAGUAAUAUUUUUGAUUUACAUAGUUCAGGUGUUGUUAUAUAUAUAUAUAUAUAUAUAUAUAUGUUGUAUAAUAGUUUAAUAAAUGUCGUGUUGUAUAUUUUUCCUAGUCCCUCUUGCUCCUUGAGUCGAACCUAGGUAUAAUAAGGUGUUCCAUUCGUAGCAGCACCAAAAGAAAAUUACCGUGUUACAUGUGCAUUAUUUACAACAACCAUACUUACGGACAAAUCUUGUCCAAGGAUCAUAUAAGCACAACAUUACAACGUAGGCGUCAGCCCUGCAGCCAUAUUGAACUGGCAAGACAACAAUAAACCAUGUCGCAAAGCGACCACAAGAGUUCGCUGUUAGACAGCACAAAAACCUUGCUGUAAAACUUACCAAAAGGCAGAAUACUGUCUGAGCGGGACACGUGCGUUAAUUGCGUCAAAUAUUUUAACGUGAUUAAUUAAAAAAAUUAAUUGCCGCGCGUUAACGCGAUAAUUUUGACAGCCCUAAAAUAAAUGAAUGGAAACGCUGCCUCUAUAAUCAGCUCAAUCUUUCAUCACUGUACGUUAUUUUUCUUUUUUUAAAUGCCCAGUUAUUCUUUUGCAAAAGUUGAGGCCUUCCACUUUCAAACUCCUGUGAGUACUUGAUAGUUCACAAAAGCAAAUUGGAAUCACAUUGACAUCCAGCGACGCCUGCUAGAGUUCAGCAAACAUAAUGGUCUCAUUAGGAGUUUCAUGCUUGCAUAUUUGCAUGCAAACGUAACUUUUUUUUAAAGCCUCCCUGUAUUAUUUAUUUAUUUUUGGUGCAAUGUUGUUGAAGUACUUGUGUAACAGUUGGCUGCACUAGCUUAUCUCCAACUGCUGUGACAGUAUUAAAAUCUUCAUGUGGCGAACGUCGAAGCUGAUUGCGGAUCGGAUGGCGGGGGCGUGAUUUAAGGGAAAACAGACAUUUGGUGUUUCCCAAAAAAGUUUUUGUCCCGAGCUGACACGGAUGUGACAGAAGGAAGGCGAGACAUGCUUUAGUCGUUUCACCUUAAAAAAUCUCUGUAGGAGAGGUCAUAUCCUUAGAUCACCCUUUAGUGGGCUAUGAAAUUGGGAGAGCCAGCCAAGUCACACAUUUUCAGUAGGUCUGGACUACAGGCUCGUACUCACACUCUUUAAAUGUAAACCUUUCAGUAUUGUGCCGUCACAGAUGUGAAAGUUACAUAUGCCAAGGGCACUUGCACACUUCCUUACCACCAAUGAUGGACUUUACAGACUUUAUAAGAAUCCAGACGGUCCUUUUCUUCUUUGGCCUAAAGAAAAUGACACAAUGUCCAUUAUUUUCGAACUCAAUUUGAAAAGUGGACUUUUUAGACCACAGCAGCACAAUGUGUGAACAUUAAAGUGCGUACGACAGGAGAAAAAAAGUCUUAAAUAGGAUUAUUAUGUGAAUUAGAAUCAUAUUUUGAGACGAUUCGACUAUAUACAACAAUUUAGCAAAGCGCAGAUGACGAGAAAUUAGUCUUUUAAUCUGCCGGUUAGCCAUGCCUACCAUUAUAGGGCGCUAGCGUCCCCGACAGGUGGAUGACGUCAGCAGAGUCACGAUUUAAUCUGAUUUAGUAUGCAGUCCAUUAAGGGGGAAUUAUUUACAAUAAAGAUGUCCCGAUCGAACGGGAUCGGGUCCGAUCACGUCAUUUUCAAAGUAUCAGAAUCGGCAAAAAAAUAUCGGACAUGCCUUUUUUAAAUAUAUAUAUUUUUAUUAAAUCGUUUUCUAAUUGUAUUUAACGUUACAGACAAAAUGUCUUACACUCAUCCAGAGUCUUUAGUUUUGGCUUAAAGUAGGGCUAUCAAAUUUAUCGCGUUAACGGCGGUAAUUAAAUUUAUUUUUAAUUAAUCACGUUAAGAUAUUUAACGCAAUUAAUGCAUGCGCUGCACGACCCACUCACGCAUUGUCGCGUUCAUUCUAUAAUGGCGCCAUUUUACCUAUAUUUAGAGCUAAAGGCAGCUUAAAAUGAGUAGAGCGAAUUUUGUCUUUGUAGCCUUUUUUUUAAAUGGCUACAGCCUUACAAUCCCUCUCUCAUUAAUUAGAAAUAUCGUGGGAAGAAAGGUAAUAGUUUAUCUUUUUCUUAACACCUUAUGUUAGUUCCCAAUGCAGAGAAGAUAUAUCAAUUGGUGCCACUAUGCACAGUCAUGGUUGCACUUCCCAUCAUGCAUUUGGGCAGAACAGGUAAAUGGCUACAGUAUCAUUUACUGAAAGCUCAACAAAUACACUAGAUGGCAAUAUUUAGUCACAAUAUACAAAGUCACAUUCAUCCUUUAAGAAUUACAAGUCUUUCUAUCCGUGGAUCCCUCUCGCAGAAAGAAUGUUAAUAAUGUAAAUGCCAUCUUGAGGAUUUAUUGUCAUAAUAAACAAAUGCAGUACUUGUGUACUGUAUGUUGAAUAUAUAUAUUCGUCCGAGUUGUAUUCAUUUUUUUCUUGAUGCAUUGCCAAAAUGUAUAUGAUCGGGAAAAAUUAUUGGGAAUGAUUGGAAAUGAAUUGGGAGCAAAAAAAAAAAAGCAAUCGAAUCGGGAAAUAUCGGGAUCGGCAGAUACUCAAACUAAAACGAUCGGGAUCGGAUCGGGAGCAAAAAAAUCAUGAU
Corythoichthys intestinalis (scribbled pipefish) is the source of this 3029-nucleotide long non-coding RNA. RefSeq lists it as uncharacterized. The transcript has 3 exons. The record is from RefSeq and is a predicted model, not a curated record. Lineage: Eukaryota; Metazoa; Chordata; Actinopteri; Syngnathiformes; Syngnathidae.